GAAUUUGCACUAAUAAACUUUGAAUUCCAUGCAUCCAUCUUGUGGAGGUAAGAUUGUCUAGCCUUUUCGCCCUGACUCAUUGUCACGGGCCCACUAUCUGCUAGCACGGUCCCUUCAGUGGGAGCCGGUGCAUUACUUUCCACGUCUUCGACCGUAGCCACUUCAGGAUCCAUUUACUAUAUAUAAAAACACAAUUUAUCCCGUUAGGAGUCAUCACACUAUCAAUAUACAAUUAUGGCAUGUAUAGCAAGACUUGUACUCACACUAGGUUAGUCCUAGAAUUGACUAGACCAUAGCUCUGAUACCACUAAAUGUAACACCCCUUACCCG
RNAcentral lists this long non-coding RNA (330 nucleotides) under Gossypium barbadense (sea-island cotton). RNAcentral describes it as "long non-coding RNA (GBAR_LNC004363)". Lineage: Eukaryota; Viridiplantae; Streptophyta; Magnoliopsida; Malvales; Malvaceae. The record is from RNAcentral.